This 791-nucleotide ribosomal RNA is filed under the name uncultured archaeon. RNAcentral describes it as "bacterial SSU rRNA". It matches the Rfam family "Archaeal small subunit ribosomal RNA", at positions 85 to 879 of the family's 1478-position model. The record is from RNAcentral.
ACAGCUCAGUAACACGUCGUUAAUCUGCCCUUGGAUUGGAGAUAAUCUUGGGAAACUGAGGAUAAUAUCCAAUAGGAGAUUGAUUCUGGAACGAACAAUCUCAAAAAGUUCACGCGUCCAAGGAUGAGACGGCGGCGGAUUAGGUUGUUGGCGGGGUAACGGCCCACCAAGCCGAAGAUCCGUAGGGGCCUUGACAGAGGGAGCCCCGAGAAGGACCCUGAGAUACUGGUCCUAGCCCUACGGGGUGCAGCAGGCGCGUAACCUUUACAAUGCACGAAAGUGUGAUAAGGGAAUCCCUAGUGCUUAUGGAAACAUAAGCUUUUGGCAAGGGUAGGAACCUUGUCGAAUAAGCAGUGGGUAAGACCGGUGCCAGCCGCCGCGGUAACCCCGGCGCUGCAAGUGGCGAUCAGCAUUACUGGGCCUAAAGCGUUCGUAGCCGGUUUUGUAAAUUCUUUGUGAAAUCGUCAGGCUUAACCUGACGGCGUGCAGAGGAGACUGCAUUACUUGAGAUCGGGAGGCGUUAGAGGUAUUUUGGAGGGAGCGGUAAAAUGCUAUAAUCUCUAAAAGACCACCUGUGGCGAAGGCGUCUAACGAGAACGAUUCUGACGGUGAGGAACGAAGGCCAGGGGAGCAAAAGGGAUUAGAUACCCCUGUAGUCCUGGCAGUAAACUCUGUGGGUUAGGUGUGGGCUGUCCUUCGAGGACAUUCCGCAUCGUAGCGAAGGCGUUAAACCCACCGCCUGGGGAGUACGGUCGCAAGGCUGAAACUUAAAGGAAUUGGCGGGGGAGCAC